GCAGGUGGCAAGCGUUGUCCGGGAAUUAUUGGGCGUAAAGCGCGCGCAGGCGGUUCUUUAAGUCUGAUGUGAAAGCCCACGGGCUCAACCGUGGAGGGUCAUUGGAAACUGGAGAACUUGAGUACAGAAGAGGAAAGCGGAAUUCCACGUGUAGCGGUGAAAUGCGUAGAGAUGUGGAGGAACACCAGUGGCGAAGGCGGCUUUCUGGUCUGUAACUGACGCUGAGGCGCGAAAGCGUGGGGAGCAAACAGGAUUAGAUACCCUGGUAGUCCACGCCGUAAACGAUGAGUGCUAAGUGUUAGGGGGUUUCCGCCCCUUAGUGCUGCAGCUAACGCAUUAAGCACUCCGCCUGGGGAGUACGGCCGCAAAGGCUG
Molecule: ribosomal RNA, 374 nt
Filed under: uncultured organism
Description: partial 16S ribosomal RNA
Rfam family: Bacterial small subunit ribosomal RNA
Source: RNAcentral